CCUACGGGAGGCAGCAGUGGGGGAUAUUGCACAAUGGGGGGAACCCUGAUGCAGCGACGCCGCGUGGGUGAAGAAGCGCCUCGGCGCGUAAAGCCCUGUCAGCAGGGAAGAAAAUGACGGUACCUGAAGAAGAAGCCCCGGCUAACUACGUGCCAGCAGCCGCGGUAAUACGUAGGGGGCAAGCGUUAACCGGAUAUACUGGGGGGAAAGGGGGCGCAGACGGCGAUGCAAGCCAGGAGGGAAAGCCCGGGGCCCAACCCCGGGACUGCUCUUGGUACUACGUGGCUGGAGUGCAGGAGGGGCAGGCGGAAUUCCUGGGGUAGCGGUGAAAUGCGUAGAUAUCAGGAGGAACACCGGUGGCGAAGGCGGCCUGCUGGACUGCAACUGACGUUGAGGCCCGAAAGCGUGGGGAGCAAACAGGAUUAGAUACCCGUGUAGUC
Molecule: ribosomal RNA, 440 nt
Filed under: uncultured bacterium
Lineage: Bacteria
Description: partial 16S ribosomal RNA
Rfam family: Bacterial small subunit ribosomal RNA
Source: RNAcentral